GGAAGAGGAAGUGGAGCUCAGCUAAUGGCCACAGCAGCACUGGUGACAGCGGACAGCCUCCGUCUGCUGCUGUGUAUGAAAAUGUCCCAGCCUCAAACCUCAGAGGGAGAGUCGAUGAUCAGGAUAAUGUUCACUAUGCCAGUGUUGUUUUUAACUCGCACACACAGGAAGAGUCUCUGUCACCCAGACUUCCUCCAGACACCACAGAGGAAGAGGAUGUUCAGUACGCUGCUGUGAACGUUAGCAGGAACACUGCUGCCAUCCAGCUUGUGGCAGAUGAAGCGGCAGAAGAUUCAUCUCAGAUCUACAGCAAGAUCCAGAAAAUCACCAGAAAGAGAACGAGCUGAGAGAGUUGUGAUCGUUCUGUUCUGUAUCCAAAUCGAACAGGAGAAGAGGCGCGGCUUUGGCAUUUUAUCAGAGUAGCAGUAUUGAUGCUUCAGUAGUGUAUUUUAGUGUUUAUAUAGUACUGUAUGCUGUUUUACCUUAGCAAUUGUAUAUGCAGGUCAGGAUUUUUAAGAGGAAUUUAGAUUAAGGAUCAUUUUUUUUUACAUCUGUUUUUUUUUUUUUUUUGUUCCAUUAUAAUCUUUAUUAACGCGUCUUUGCUCUAUUCAUUUAUUUUUUUUUACAUUUAUUUUAAUGCUAUUCAAUCUAUAGUGCUCUUUUUAUUUUAAGUGAUCUAUAUAUGCUUUCUUUAUGCAUAUAAAGAAAGCAUAUAUAGGCUGUCAGGAUGCACGCCUGACACUGAGUUGUCGAAUCAGUGAGAGAGAGUAAUAAAGUAGCGGCUGGAUACGCUUGAGUGAGAGAGAGAGAGAUGCAUGCGUGUCUUAUGUAUGCCUUCGAUUUUUGUUUUACGUUCUGUUUGCGUUCUGUUUUUGAUUAAACUUUACUUUUG
Long non-coding RNA from Pangasianodon hypophthalmus (striped catfish), 892 nucleotides. RefSeq lists it as uncharacterized. The record is from RefSeq and is a predicted model, not a curated record. The transcript is spliced from 3 exons. NCBI's taxonomy places the organism in Eukaryota, Metazoa, Chordata, Actinopteri, Siluriformes, Pangasiidae.